RNAcentral lists this ribosomal RNA (463 nucleotides) under Vreelandella stevensii. Its description in RNAcentral is "partial 16S ribosomal RNA". It matches the Rfam family "Bacterial small subunit ribosomal RNA", at positions 338 to 795 of the family's 1533-position model. The record is from RNAcentral. Lineage: Bacteria; Pseudomonadati; Pseudomonadota; Gammaproteobacteria; Oceanospirillales; Halomonadaceae.
CCUAGGAGGCAGCAGUGGGGAAUAUUGGACAAUGGGCGAAAGCCUGAUCCAGCCAUGCCGCGUGUGUGAAGAAGGCCUUCGGGUUGUAAAGCACUUUCAGUGGGGAAGAAAGCCUUGGGGCUAAUACCCUCGAGGAAGGACAUCACCCACAGAAGAAGCACCGGCUAACUCCGUGCCAGCAGCCGCGGUAAUACGGAGGGUGCGAGCGUUAAUCGGAAUUACUGGGCGUAAAGCGCGCGUAGGCGGUCUGAUAAGCCGGUUGUGAAAGCCCCGGGCUCAACCUGGGAACGGCAUCCGGAACUGUCAGGCUAGAGUGCAGGAGAGGAAGGUAGAAUUCCCGGUGUAGCGGUGAAAUGCGUAGAGAUCGGGAGGAAUACCAGUGGCGAAGGCGGCCUUCUGGACUGACACUGACGCUGAGGUGCGAAAGCGUGGGUAGCAAACAGGAUUAGAUACCCCAGUAGUC